GAAUUGUUGUCCGAGUGGUUAAAGGAGACGGAUUGUAAAUCCGUUGUUAAUACUACGCUGGUUCGAAUCCAGCACAAUUCA
Molecule: transfer RNA, 81 nt
Filed under: Lepocinclis tripteris
Lineage: Eukaryota; Euglenozoa; Euglenophyceae; Euglenales; Phacaceae
Description: tRNA-Tyr
Rfam family: tRNA
About the family: Transfer RNA (tRNA) molecules are approximately 80 nucleotides in length.
Source: RNAcentral